UUGAAUAAACCGCAUACAGGUGUCAGGACAAUGCUGGGAACAGGCGUUGUUUUGGUGAAAAGGGAAAAUGGGUGAGAAUCCCAUACGAACUCGUCACCGUAAUUAGGGAGCAGAAGCCGGUAUACCACUGGGAAACUGGGAAGGUGGCUGCUGUGAUGAUUUUUAAGUCGGGAAACCUGCCUGAAUGUUGUACAGAAA
Molecule: non-coding RNA, 198 nt
Filed under: Lachnospiraceae bacterium A2
Lineage: Bacteria; Bacillati; Bacillota; Clostridia; Lachnospirales; Lachnospiraceae
Also listed under: 1 other name
Source: RNAcentral